UACGUAGGGAGCAAGCGUUAUCCGGAUUUAUUGGGUUUAAAGGGUGCGUAGGCGGGCUGUUAAGUCAGCGGUCAAAUGUCGGGGCUCAACCCCGGCCUGCCGUUGAAACUGGCGGCCUCGAGUGGGCGAGAAGUAUGCGGAAUGCGUGGUGUAGCGGUGAAAUGCAUAGAUAUCACGCAGAACUCCGAUUGCGAAGGCAGCAUACCGGCGCCCGACUGACGCUGAGGCACGAAAGCGUGGGGAGCAAAUAGG
This 252-nucleotide ribosomal RNA is filed under the name uncultured Bacteroidales bacterium. RNAcentral's name for it is "partial 16S ribosomal RNA". It matches the Rfam family "Bacterial small subunit ribosomal RNA", at positions 524 to 776 of the family's 1533-position model. Lineage: Bacteria; Pseudomonadati; Bacteroidota; Bacteroidia; Bacteroidales. The record is from RNAcentral.